AAAUAGACAAACCCGGAGUUUCCGUGUCCAACGUUUGACCGUCCGUCUUAUUUGAAAAAAUUAUGAAAGAAAUUAAAAAGACAAGUCACACAUAAAGUAUUAAUCAUGUUUUAUCAUCUAACAAUAAUAAAAAUACUAAUUAUAAGAAAAUUUCAUAUAAGAAGGACAGUCAAACGUUGGACACGGAAACCUAGGGUUUGUCUUUUU
This is a non-coding RNA of Oryza nivara, 207 nucleotides long. The record is from Rfam. NCBI's taxonomy places the organism in Eukaryota, Viridiplantae, Streptophyta, Magnoliopsida, Poales, Poaceae.